This is a long non-coding RNA of Polyodon spathula (Mississippi paddlefish), 2265 nucleotides long. RefSeq lists it as uncharacterized. NCBI's taxonomy places the organism in Eukaryota, Metazoa, Chordata, Actinopteri, Acipenseriformes, Polyodontidae. The transcript has 9 exons. The record is from RefSeq and is a predicted model, not a curated record.
AAGAAGAUACCAACAGUGCCAGAAGAAGUGGUAAUUUGGAAAUGCAGAUUUGUAUUUUAUACAUAUCUUGUAAUGAAGAUAUUCAGUAUUUAAGUAUUUGUGUUCACCCCAUAUCACAGACCACUACUUAUGCUGUCCUCUUUAGCGUUAAAUUUAGCUAGAACAAUACUUUUCUUAAAAAAUGCAGAUAAUUGUACACAUGAAUAAAAUAUUCUGGAAUAUAUUGUUAUAGCAGUCAUCCUUUAUUUUUGAACUAAUAAGAAAAUCAACACCUCUUCUGAAGGUGGUGGGCAGAAUUGUGUUCUGUUGAUUUAUUUGUUCACAGUGCACUGAAAAAGCCAGUCAGCUUUAUUCCAAGCUUUAUGAAGAAGCUGAGAAUAUAAAGAGAUGGAAAGUGGCCAUGGAUGCUGAAGUUAUACAGAAGGAUAAGAAAUUACAGGAAAAUAAAAGAACUAUUGAAAACCAGCGCAAAGCCAUUCAGGAGUUACAGUUUGGAAACGAGAGUCUGAGCAUGAAAUUGGAAGAAGAGAUGAAUGAAAAUAAAAAUAUGAACAACAAAAAUUUGGCCACCAGACAUUUGUGUAAUCUGCUAAAGGAAACUUUUGAAAGAUCAGGAGAGAAAAUUAAUUUAUAUGAAUCAGAGAGAGAAGAAACACAUGACCUGCUUAUUCAGAAUAACAAGGACAUCCAGAGGAUGGUACUGGCAUUUGAUGGCCUUCAAAUCCAAGCUGAAAAUGAAAGAAAGGAGAUGAAGAUUAAAUUAAAAGAGAGUAAACAGCAGAGUGAGGAACUCAUAAGGGAAUGUCACGCAGAACUGAGGAAGAAACAAGAACAGGUUUGUCCCUAAAAUGGCUUUAUGACCCUUUUCCAUAACCCCUAGAAAUCUCCACAAAUGUGGUUCUUUUCUAAACGGGUUUGCUUGCAUGAUUGGCAACUGGUGUACAGCAUUGUGCAAAUAAGCAAACCUAUAUUAAAGGCUGACAUUGUAUGUGCUGUAAAGAUCUGUGAAAGCCCUCAAUAUGCAUUUAUUAAGGUACAGUAGAUAUUUCCAUGUAUUACUUUACUGAAAACCCUGAAGAAAAAAUAAAUAGCAGGGACAUACAUGUUUAUAGCCACAGUCAUAAUCCACAACCCUGAAUAAACAUGAGCAUGCAGAAUACUGCCACUUUAAAACGCAUAACGUUUGUUUCAGAUAUUUAAAAUAAUGUCAUUUGUUUACAGGUGUCGCAGCUUCAGCAGAAGUAUGAUGAAAAAGAUAAUGAACUUCAGCAAAUAUGGCUUCAUUUUCAAGAAACAAAGCAGAAAUAUGAGCAGCUAGAAGAAGCAGCAAGUAAAUAUUCAGUUGGAUUGUUUUAAUAUUAAGUUAGGCAUGUUUAACUUGUCAAUAUGUGUUUUUAUGGUAGAAAGGUUGUCCAUAAGGUCUGAGAAUCGGAAUUCCAGAACAAUAAUUAAACUUAUUUUUAAUUGUCAGGAUUCCAGAACAAUAAUUAAACUUAUUUUUCAUUGUCAGGAAAACAAUAUAAAGAUCUACAAGAGUCACAUAGAAAACAAGAGGUGCUUUUAGAUAACCUGGAAAAAGCAGAAAGCUCCCUUAAAAAAACCCAGGUUUGUGAGAACAUCUUUUAAAACUAGAGUCAACAUGUGAGGGUUCAGUGGAUGUUGUCUGUUGUUUGUUGGACACAAGAUCAUAUACAGAGUUUGCUGGUAAUGCUGAAUUCUUACCUCUAUUUAGAAACGUCAGCAAGUUCUCGAGACAAUGUUAGAAACUAAAGAACAGGCACUUGGGCAAGUAAUUGUGGAGAAAGACGCAGCCACAGAAGAGCUUAAUAAAACGAAAGAAUGUCAGGCAGCAGCGAUUAAGAAGCUGCAGGAUACAGUUCAGACUUUAGAGACAUCUCUUACAAUGAAGAAACUGAGGUCAGAAGAACUCGAAGAGAAUUUAAACAACAUUUUAGUGGAAGCAAAUAAAAAAACUUGUGAAUUAGGAGCGAUAGAAGAACACAAAAAAGAGAAAGAAAAGGAAAUCAAACAGCUUACAGACAAAUUGGGAAUGGCUAGACAGUCCAUAACUGCUUUAGAGGAAAAGUUUAAAAAUGAAGAGAAAAAGGCUGGGAACCUGAUAACUGAACUGGAGGUCAAAAACACAGCCCUGUGUGAACUAAAGGUCUGGACACCUAUCUGUUUUUAAAACGUGUUUUACAAUAUACUGCAACUGUGCUGCACAGACAUUUCAUAACACUUUAGUCAUGAUUCAUUGGCAUGUGC